This 85-nucleotide transfer RNA is filed under the name Felis catus (domestic cat). It matches the Rfam family "tRNA". Rfam says of the family: Transfer RNA (tRNA) molecules are approximately 80 nucleotides in length. Their secondary structure includes four short double-helical elements and three loops (D, anti-codon, and T loops). RNAcentral also lists the same sequence under 4 other names. Lineage: Eukaryota; Metazoa; Chordata; Mammalia; Carnivora; Felidae. The record is from Rfam by way of RNAcentral.
ACCUGGGUGGCUCAGUUGGUUGAGCAUCUGACUUCAGCUCAGGUCAUGAUCUCAAGGUUAGUGAGUUCAAUCCUCACAUUAGGCU